UUUGACCGUGCAAAGGUAGCAUAAUCAUUAGUUUUUUAAUUGAAAGCUGGUAUGAAAGGUUGGAUGAGAAAAUAGCUGUCUCUAUUUAAAUUAUUUAGAAUUUUAUCUUUAAGUAAGAAAGCUUAAAUUUUAAUUGAAGACGAGAAGACCCUAUAGAGUUUUAUAAAUUUUAGUUUAAGGAAACUUAAGAAUUAACAAAUUUUUAAAUUAAAAUCUAUUUAGUUGGGGCGAUUGAAAAAUUUAAUAAACUUUUUUUAUUAAUUUAAACAUUAAUUUAUGAUUAGAUGAUCCUUAUUUAAAGAUUAAAAGAAAAAAUUACCUUAGGGAUAACAGCGUAAUUUUUUUAAAGAGUUCAAAUCGAAAAAAAAGAUUGCGACCUCGAUGUUGGAUUAAAAUAAAAUUUUGGUGUAGGAGCUAAAUAAUUUGGGUCUGUUCGACCCUUAAAAUUUUACAUGAUCUGAGUUUAAACCGGUGU
RNAcentral lists this ribosomal RNA (475 nucleotides) under Eupholus geoffroyi. RNAcentral describes it as "partial 16S ribosomal RNA". The stretch from base 326 to 475 matches the Rfam family "Bacterial large subunit ribosomal RNA", at positions 2473 to 2622 of the family's 2925-position model. The record is from RNAcentral. Lineage: Eukaryota; Metazoa; Arthropoda; Insecta; Coleoptera; Curculionidae.